UUGUGUGUGUGUGUGUGUGGUGUGUGUGUGGAAAUAUAUAUAUACAUAUAUAUAUAUAUAUAUAUAUAGCCAACUUCCAUAUAACACAGAAAAUUCCAGUUUGAAUUGUUAAACAGACAGAAAAAUCAUUCUCAAUGUCAAGAAAGGGAUAGAGUGGGGCAGAAAUAUGUGUGUGUGUGUGU
Long non-coding RNA from Octopus sinensis (East Asian common octopus), 182 nucleotides. RefSeq lists it as uncharacterized. The transcript has 2 exons. NCBI's taxonomy places the organism in Eukaryota, Metazoa, Mollusca, Cephalopoda, Octopoda, Octopodidae. The record is from RefSeq and is a predicted model, not a curated record.